Long non-coding RNA from Gossypium arboreum, 422 nucleotides. RefSeq lists it as uncharacterized. The transcript has 2 exons. NCBI's taxonomy places the organism in Eukaryota, Viridiplantae, Streptophyta, Magnoliopsida, Malvales, Malvaceae. The record is from RefSeq and is a predicted model, not a curated record.
GGUAAAUGUUUCAUGAUAAUGGGUUAGGUAAAUGUUUCAUGAUAAGAAAUUCAUGUCUUUUGUAUUAAAGAAUUAAAUGGAUGAAAUAUGAAGUUUUAUUAAAAGAAAAAGGGGUGAAAAGAACAAAGUUUUGUCCAUCUUUGUUCAUCCUAGCCUAAAGUUAGAGAAGAGAAAGGAGAGGAGAAAGCUCUUAAAUGUUCGGUCACUUGGGGAAGAAAAUUGAAGGCGGUUCGUGUGUGGAUCUCAUCAGCAUAUCGUCGCAAACAGGUGUGUAACUAACACCCUCUUUCUUAGUCUAGAUCGGCAAAAGCCGAAAAGCCGAAAUGCCGAAAAUCGGUAUUUUGUAGAUUUGCAAGUGUGCAAAUGCUCGUGAGGUAAAUCGAUUAAUGUUUUUGGUAAGCUGCAAUGCUUGGACUGCAAAG